Pristionchus pacificus is the source of this 83-nucleotide non-coding RNA. The record is from Rfam. Lineage: Eukaryota; Metazoa; Nematoda; Chromadorea; Rhabditida; Neodiplogasteridae.
AGCACGAUGGCCGAGUGGUUAAGGCGUUGGACUUAAGUUCCAAUGGGCGUAAGCCUUCGUGGGUUCGAACCCCACUCGUGCUA